RNAcentral lists this ribosomal RNA (484 nucleotides) under uncultured bacterium. RNAcentral describes it as "partial 16S ribosomal RNA". It matches the Rfam family "Bacterial small subunit ribosomal RNA", at positions 30 to 507 of the family's 1533-position model. The record is from RNAcentral.
AUUGAACGCUGGCGGCAGGCCCAACACAUGCAAGUCGAGCGGAUGAAGGGAGCUUGCUCCUGGAUUCAGCGGCGGACGGGUGAGUAAUGCCUAGGAAUCUGCCUGGUAGUGGGGGAUAACGUCCGGGAACGGGCGCUAAUACCGCAUACGUCCUGAGGGAGAAAGUGGGGGAUCUUCGGACCUCACGCUAUCAGAUGAGCCUAGGUCGGAUUAGCUAGUUGGUGGGGUAAAGGCCUACCAAGGCGACGAUCCGUAACUGGUCUGAGAGGAUGAUCAGUCACACUGGAACUGAGACACGGUCCAGACUCCUACGGGAGGCAGCAGUGGGGAAUAUUGGACAAUGGGCGAAAGCCUGAUCCAGCCAUGCCGCGUGUGUGAAGAAGGUCUUCGGAUUGUAAAGCACUUUAAGUUGGGAGGAAGGGCAGUAAGUUAAUACCUUGCUGUUUUGACGUUACCAACAGAAUAAGCACCGGCUAACUUCGUG